GAGACAUUAGUAAAAUAGUUACAUUACCUUGUCAAGGUAAAAUUACGAGUUAAACUCUCGUAUGUCUUA
Molecule: transfer RNA, 69 nt
Filed under: Epiplatys dageti (redchin panchax)
Lineage: Eukaryota; Metazoa; Chordata; Actinopteri; Cyprinodontiformes; Nothobranchiidae
Description: tRNA-Asp
Rfam family: tRNA
About the family: Transfer RNA (tRNA) molecules are approximately 80 nucleotides in length. Their secondary structure includes four short double-helical elements and three loops (D, anti-codon, and T loops). Further hydrogen bonds mediate the characteristic L-shaped molecular structure. tRNAs have two regions of fundamental functional importance: the anti-codon, which is responsible for specific mRNA codon recognition, and the 3' end, to which the tRNAs corresponding amino acid is attached (by aminoacyl-tRNA synthetases). tRNAs cope with the degeneracy of the genetic code in two manners: having more than one tRNA (with a specific anti-codon) for a particular amino acid; and 'wobble' base-pairing, i.e. permitting non-standard base-pairing at the 3rd anti-codon position.
Source: RNAcentral